Molecule: unclassified non-coding RNA, 470 nt
Filed under: Hevea brasiliensis (rubber tree)
Lineage: Eukaryota; Viridiplantae; Streptophyta; Magnoliopsida; Malpighiales; Euphorbiaceae
Source: RNAcentral
UGCUUGAUAAGAAUUGAAACUGAUCCGGCUGAUAGAACACAGUUGAGAAUGACAGUUGCCUCAGGGGACCCUGCGCUAACUUUUGAGCUGAAGGAGUUCAUCAAGGAACAAUUGGUUAGCAUUCCUACAGCUCCACGUGGACCUACAACAGCACCGCCUGCACCUCCGGUAGUGCAACCAACUAGUCCUGCGAUGGCUUUGACAGAUCCCGGAGCCAUGUUGGCUGGUCUGUUGUAAUAAUAUGGAGGUUAUUGAUGUGUGAAGAUUUGUUCAAUAUACACUUGUAAACGUGAUUUAUACAGCUGGCCCACCCAUCUGUCCCUCGAGUCGAGAGGUGAAUCGGUAAAUUCAUGUUGCGAGGGCUGGCGGAAUGAAGGGUGAGCUAAAUUGUGGUCGGCAUAAUUUGUGGGAUUGCGAAGGGGUUGGCCAGGAUUUUGAGAGAUUCUUUUGCACAAUUGUAAUGUGCUUAG